Molecule: ribosomal RNA, 792 nt
Filed under: Triticum aestivum (bread wheat)
Lineage: Eukaryota; Viridiplantae; Streptophyta; Magnoliopsida; Poales; Poaceae
Description: partial small subunit ribosomal RNA
Source: RNAcentral
AUGGUGAACUCGCAGCAUGAGAAAUCUAAUCAUGAGGAGGGCGAUGAACUUCCGGAGGAUCUGAAUAUAAGUGAUGAUUUACGUAUCCAUCUGAUGUCGAUCAAGGGAGCGAACAAGAAGCUUGGGACAAAGGUUGAGGAGUUGUCUGCAAAUAUUGUUGGCGUCGAGGACAGGUUGAACGAGCGUUUGACUGCCAGCGACCGACAGCGCAUUGAUAGUCUACAGGUGGUGACUGCGAGUCUUAAUCGGCUCACCGCAGCAGUUCAGCGCCUUCAGGCGGGAGAUGUGGCACCCCGACAGUCCCGCUCACCACGACGACGUCGUGACCGCGACAACGACGAUGAUGGUGAUUUUUCUGAGGAUUCCGAUACCCGUGGAGGCUUACCUCACCGACCACGGCAUGAUGCUGGGGCUCACCGCCAUGCCGGGCGGCGCCGUGACUAUGGCGGCAAUGGUGCCCACGAGGAUGAUGGUUUGGGUCGAAUCAAGAUAACCAUACCUGAAUUCUCGGGACGUUGUGCUGACCCGGAGAAAUAUUUGGAGUGGGAGAUACGCGUAAAUCAGAUUUUUGAUGGUCACAACUACUCUGAAGAGAAGAAGGUUCGUGUUGCAUCAAUGGAAUUUAUAGAGUAUGCUCUUGUAUGGUGGGAUAAUAAAAACCGUACUCAUGAGCGACCAACGACAUGGGCUGACAUGAAGCGAAUCAUGAGGGAACGUUUUGUGCCUGCUUAUUACACUCGCCAGCUUCAUAGUAGACUGCGUCGUCUAGUGCAAGGUACAAAAAUCAGUUGA